This 460-nucleotide ribosomal RNA is filed under the name uncultured bacterium. RNAcentral's name for it is "bacterial SSU rRNA". It matches the Rfam family "Bacterial small subunit ribosomal RNA", at positions 70 to 453 of the family's 1533-position model. The record is from RNAcentral.
AAAAGUAAAGUGAAGUUAAGAAUGUACUUUACGCUUAUAUAAGCUUGCCAACACCAUAUAUUAUAAAAAGAGUUUAGUAUUUGGUGGAUUAACAUACUUAGUGGCGGACGGGUGAGUAACGCGUGAACAAUCUGCCCUGUACAAAGGAAUAGCCUCGGGAAACCGGGAUUAAAACCAUAUGACACUUUUAAGCCACAUGACUUGGAAGUCAAAUUGAAUAAGAGGUAUAGGAUGAGUUCGCGUCUGAUUAGCUAGUUGGUGAGGUAAAGGCCCACCAAGGCGACGAUCAGUAGCCGGCCUGAGAGGGUGAACGGCCACACUGGAACUGAGACACGGUCCAGACUCCUACGGGAGGCAGCAGUGGGGAAUAUUGCACAAUGGAGGAAACUCUGAUGCAGCGACGCCGCGUGAGUGAAGAAGGUCUUCGGAUCGUAAAACUCUGUCCUUGGGGACGAAAAAA